AUUGAACGCUGGCGGCAUGCCUUACACAUGCAAGUCGAACGGCAGCACGGGAGCAAUCCUGGUGGCGAGUGGCGAACGGGUGAGUAAAGUAUCGGAACGUGCCCAGUCGUGGGGGAUAACGUAGCGAAAGUUACGCUAAUACCGCAUACGAUCUAUGGAUGAAAGCGGGGGAUCGCAAGACCUCGCGCGAUUGGAGCGGCCGAUAUCAGAUUAGGUAGUUGGUGGGGUAAAGGCUCACCAAGCCGACGAUCUGUAGCUGGUCUGAGAGGACGAGCAGGCACACUGGGACGGAGACACGGCCCAGACUCCUACGGGAGGCAGAAGUGGGGAAUUUUGGACAAUGGGCGCAAGCCUGAUCCAGCCGUGCCGCGUGCAGGAUGAAGGCCUUCGGGUUGUAAACUGCUUUUGUACGGAACGAAAAGGUUUGACUUAAUACGUUGGACUCAUGACGGUACCGUAAGAAUAAGCACCGGCUAACUACGUGCCAGCCGCCGCAGUAA
Molecule: ribosomal RNA, 500 nt
Filed under: uncultured bacterium
Lineage: Bacteria
Description: partial 16S ribosomal RNA
Rfam family: Bacterial small subunit ribosomal RNA
Source: RNAcentral